GAUGAACGCUGGCGGCGUGCCUAAUACAUGCAAGUCGAGCGAACAGACGAGAGUGCUUGCACUCUCUGACGUUAGCGGCGGACGGGUGAGUAACACGUGGGUAACCUACCUAUAAGACUGGGAUAACUUCGGGAAACCGGAGCUAAUAGCGGAUAAUAUUUAGCUUCGCAUGAAGCAAUAGUGAAAGACGGUUCUGCUGUCACUUAGAGAUGGACCCGCGGUGUAUUAGCUAGUUGGAGAGGUAACGGCUCACCAAGGCAACGAUACAUAGCCGACCUGAGAGGGUGAUCGGCCACACUGGGACUGAGACACGGCCCAGACUCCUACGGGAGGCAGCAGUAGGGAAUCUUCCGCAAUGGACGAAAGUCUGACGGAGCAAUGCCGCGUGAGUGAAGAAGGUUUUCGGAUCGUAAAACUCUGUUGUAAGGGAAGAACAAGUACGUUAGUAACUGAACGUACCUUGACGGUACCUUACCAGAAAGCCACGGCUAACUACGUG
Molecule: ribosomal RNA, 499 nt
Filed under: uncultured bacterium
Lineage: Bacteria
Description: partial 16S ribosomal RNA
Rfam family: Bacterial small subunit ribosomal RNA
Source: RNAcentral